GACAGAGGAUGCAAGCGUUAUCCGGAAUGAUUGGGCGUAAAGCGUCUGUAGGUGGCUUUUCAAGUCCGCCGUCAAAUCCCAGGGCUUAACCCUGGACAGGCGGUGGAAACUACCAAGCUGGAGUACGGUAGGGGCGGAGGGAAUUUCCGGUGGAGCGGUGAAAUGCAUUGAGAUCGGAAAGAACACCAAUGGCGAAGGCAGCUCGCUGGGACGGUACUGACACUGAGACGCGAAAGCGUGGGGAGCAAACAGG
This 253-nucleotide ribosomal RNA is filed under the name uncultured bacterium. RNAcentral describes it as "partial 16S ribosomal RNA". It matches the Rfam family "Bacterial small subunit ribosomal RNA", at positions 524 to 776 of the family's 1533-position model. The record is from RNAcentral.